Molecule: long non-coding RNA, 1637 nt
Organism: Homo sapiens (human)
Lineage: Eukaryota; Metazoa; Chordata; Mammalia; Primates; Hominidae
Product: long intergenic non-protein coding RNA 1471
Source: Ensembl
AGGCGAGAUAAUGCAGAGGUGGGGGACAGAGUGGGUGGGGAGGGGAGCCGCCAUACAGUGGCCAGGACCAGCUUUGCCCAAGUGGUGGCAACCGCAUGACCACAGGAACGAUGGCGUGAGCCCCGUGGCAACCUGGAGGAAGGGCCAAGCCACUGGUGAAUAUGCUGCAAAAAAUAUGCUGGAACUUCUAUGAAUACCACAGGGUGUGAGAAGAAAACAUUAGAACUUCUAUUUUGUACCUGUGUUACUCCACAACAAGAAAGCAAUCAGCUUGAUCAAUGCCUACUGUAAAGACGGCACCGCCCUCCGGAGGUCCUUUCUCAGCCCUGGUGUUCGGACAGCCACAUCCCCUCGCAGCAGGGGGAGGCCUGAAGCAUAGAGGGGCCCAUGCAGGUCUAUUCUGUUUCAGCGAAUUGCCUGGGAAAUAAUCCAGGAUCCAUUUCGUGUGGUCAUCUUGUCUCCCUGGUCCCCUCCAGCCUUUCCUCAUCUUUUGUGACCUGGUCACUCUGGAAGGGCGCUGGCCAGUUAGUCCACAGGAUGGGCCUCCCCUGGGGCUUUUCUGAUGCUUCCUUAUGAUGGCACUGGCAUCCUGAGGGGGAGGACCACAGAGAGGAGGUGCUCCUCAUCACACCACAUGGGGGUCCAUGCACCAGUGCCACUGCUUUCCAGGGCUCUUCACCUUCAUCACUGGUGGAGGUGGCGUCUGCCAAGAAGCAGAAAGUUGAGGCUUAGAAGGUGCACGGCCCUACCUCUUCCGAGGUGCCCCUGCGGGCUGUCUACAGACCAGGCAGCACAUGCCUGAUAGCAGCUGCAUAAGGAAAAGCAGGAGCCAGCUCGUGCACAGUGGCCUCAAGUGUGCACUGGGCAUGUUCUCUGCCUCACCAUCCCUGUGUGACAGAUGAAGCUUGAGAAGCCUCUGCCUGGGUGCGCAGCCCCACAGCCCAGCCUCUGCAGAGUGGGAGGGGAGCCAGGCCCUGCUUGGGUAGCAUUGCCAUGGCAACCUCUCCCCACGCUGCUCCUCGCUGAGACCCGGGCAUCUGUGGCCAUGGCGACUGGGCCUGCCACUGGCACAUCUGCAUAGCAACCAGAGAGGGUGCCGAGCGCAGCUGGGCCCCGCUCAGGAAAACAGGUACACUCAGAGCUUUUAUCAGUCAUUAAGGAGAAGCUGGGAGCCUCUAUGGGGAGAAAGGACAAAGGAUGCAGACAAAAGACUUGGAACCGCAAGUGGCUAAUAAAUCUAUGACAAGUGCCCAACAUUACCAGCGAUCAUAGAAAUGCAAAUGCAAACAACAAUAAGAUACUUAAAGAAAAACAACAACAACUAGUGCAAUUGGCAAGAGAUGAGGCACAAAAGAGAUAGGACCCAGUGUUGGCGGGGGGUGUAGGGAAUGGGGACUCGAACACCCUGCUGGUCUGAGUGCACAUUCAUGGAACAUUUCUGAGAAGGCAAUUUGCAAUCUGUAUCAAAAGCCUUUAAAAUGCACAUACCUUUUGAACCAACAAUUCUAGUUGUAGUAAUUUAUUCCAAGGUAAUAAUUAAGUGAGUAAAGAUUCAGCUCCAAGUGUGUUCCCUGUAGGGGCAAUUAUAAUACAAAAACUUUGAAACAACCACAAUCUGAAAAAAAAAAAAAAAAGAA